CACCACCCUCUUCUGUGUUUGGGGUACAACACUAGAGACUGGACCAAUGAAGUCAGAUGGGUGAUCUUCUCUAGUGUUUCCAGAAUUACCCUUUCUACAGCUGCAAAACAGAAAUGAUGCAUUUUGCAGCUUAUUUAAACCGAUAAAUAACAUGUGUGUACAUAGAUUUGGUAUGGAACUCAAGACUGGAUUUUCCUCUCACACCAGAAGUACCUGUGGAUGAGCCUCCAGCCGUCUCCGUGAUGGUCUGCCUGAGAGACUAGAGCUGAGAAAGAUGGAGAGGCAGAGAGUGCUGCUCGAUGAGAGAGAGAGAGGAGAGACGGAUGAGGAGGGAGAAGAGAGAAGGACAAUAACGAGAGAAAGGAGUUUGGGUGGACGGGGAGAGAGGAGGGGUAUUUUUUUAUUAUUAUGGUUGAUUUGGUUCAUCGAAGGUCAGCAGCAAAGACACUGGUUAAUAAAAUGGUAUUAAAUACAGAGUAUAUUUGUGUUAUUUAACAUUUAAUUAUUGCAGGUUUGUAUAAUGAGUUUGCGUUUCACUGUUUUUAAUGUAGAGGACUACUGUGUUUGUGUGCAGCGAGAUGAGUAAACACAUGUUCAUAUUUAGUCUAGAACUACAGUUACAGUAAGAUCAUGUUCAAACACAACGCUCUGCACUUACUCCUGAUUUCUGUCACCAUGGCAAC
RNAcentral lists this long non-coding RNA (683 nucleotides) under Sinocyclocheilus rhinocerous. RNAcentral's name for it is "lncRNA (ENSSRHG00000036275.1)". The record is from RNAcentral. Lineage: Eukaryota; Metazoa; Chordata; Actinopteri; Cypriniformes; Cyprinidae.